AGUAACCUGCCCUUGACUCUGGGAUAAGCCUGGGAAACUGGGUCUAAUACCGGAUAUGACUCCUCAUCGCAUGGUGGGGGGUGGAAAGCUUUUGUGGUUUUGGAUGGACUCGCGGCCUAUCAGCUUGUUGGUGGGGUAAUGGCCUACCAAGGCGACGACGGGUAGCCGGCCUGAGAGGGUGACCGGCCACACUGGGACUGAGACACGGCCCAGACUCCUACGGGAGGCAGCAGUGGGGAAUAUUGCACAAUGGGCGAAAGCCUGAUGCAGCGACGCCGCGUGAGGGAUGACGGCCUUCGGGUUGUAAACCUCUUUCAGUAGGGAAGAAGCCGUAAGGUGACGGUACCUGCAGAAGAAGCGCCGGCUAACUACGUGCCAGCAGCCGCGGUAAUACGUAGGGC
Molecule: ribosomal RNA, 401 nt
Filed under: Arthrobacter sp. acu12
Lineage: Bacteria; Bacillati; Actinomycetota; Actinomycetes; Micrococcales; Micrococcaceae
Description: bacterial SSU rRNA
Rfam family: Bacterial small subunit ribosomal RNA
Source: RNAcentral